AAGACCUUGCACUUUUGGAGCGGCCGAUGACUGAUUAGCUAGUUGGUGGGGUAAAGGCCUACCAAAGCUUCGAUCAGUAGCUGGUCUGAGAGGACGGCCAGCCACACUGGGACUGAGACACGGCCCAGACUCCUACGGGAGGCAGCAGUGGGGAAUUUUGGACAAUGGGCGCAAGCCUGAUCCAGCCAUGCCGCGUGAGUGAAGAAGGCCUUCGGGUUGUAAAGCUCUUUCAGCCGGGAAGAAAAGGCUGCGACUAAUAAUCGCAGUUCAUGACGGUACCGGAAGAAGAAGCACCGGCUAACUACGUGCCAGCAGCCGCGGUAAUACGUAGGGUGCGAGCGUUAAUCGGAAUUACUGGGCGUAAAGGGUGCGCAGGCGGUUUUGUAAGUCAGAUGUGAAAUCCCCGGGCCUAACCUGGGAACU
Molecule: ribosomal RNA, 423 nt
Filed under: uncultured bacterium
Lineage: Bacteria
Description: bacterial SSU rRNA
Rfam family: Bacterial small subunit ribosomal RNA
Source: RNAcentral